CUUGUGGGAAGACCGUCUCCAUACAAUAACAAAGAUACAACUCUUAGCGGUGGAUAUCUUGUUCUC
Molecule: ribosomal RNA, 66 nt
Filed under: Pyropia tenera (asakusa nori)
Lineage: Eukaryota; Rhodophyta; Bangiophyceae; Bangiales; Bangiaceae
Description: partial 5.8S rRNA
Source: RNAcentral